This 433-nucleotide ribosomal RNA is filed under the name uncultured bacterium. RNAcentral's name for it is "partial 16S ribosomal RNA". It matches the Rfam family "Bacterial small subunit ribosomal RNA", at positions 29 to 507 of the family's 1533-position model. The record is from RNAcentral.
AACGAACGCUGGCGGCAUGCCUAACACAUGCAAGUCGAACGAGACCUUCGGGUCUAGUGGCGCACGGGUGCGUAACGCGUGGGAACCUGCCCUUAGGUUCGGAAUAACUCCCCGAAAGGGGUGCUAAUACCGGAUAAUGUCUUCGGACCAACGAUUUAUCGCCUUUGGAUGGGCCCGCGUUGGAUUAGCUAGUUGGUAGGGUAAAAGCCUACCAACGCGACGAUCCAUAGCUGGUCUGAGAGGAUGAUCAGCCACACUGGGACUGAGACACGGCCCAGACUCCUACGGGAGGCAGCAGUGGGGAAUAUUGGACAAUGGGCGAAAGCCUGAUCCAGCAAUGCCGCGUGAGUGAUGAAGGCCUUAGGGUUGUAAAGCUCUUUUACCCGGGAUGAUAAUGACAGUACCGGGAGAAUAAGCUCCGGCUAACUCCGUG